GGACUUCCCUCCUCUCCCCCCCGCCCCGCCAGGCUCCUGCCAUGUCACCCCGCGUGUCAACACAAAGACUGUCCCACUGCAGCUCUGCUGCCUUCCAGGCAAAGGUUCAGCUCAUUCUCAAGAAAGCUCCAUGGGCCGAGUUCAGUGAAAAUGAGCAGCAGGCACUGCAAACAUUGGGCCAAAGAGGGAAAACCACUGGGAGUUGCUGGCGAUGGUGUGCGGCUACGAAUGCCGGAUCUAGGCUACUUUCAAGCACGUGUCUUCACUUUCCUGGCUUCUUCGGGAAUGUUUGGGGCUCACUGUUUCAGUGUGCAGCACUUCCUGGAGCAGAGAAAGACGCAGAACUGGAGGCUGACUUAGUAACUGUGUGGUGCUGGAAAAGCUUCUCAUUCUCCAGGCUGGUGCUCAGUUCUCCCUGGUGCUAUCAUGCUCUAACUGGGAUUGGCAGAGGUAGCCUGGGUUAUUAAAAUCUGCGUCCACAGAGCUUAGCUCCUUUGGAGAGCUUUUAAAAAUCCGCGUGUUGGGCCCCACCUCCAGAUACUGAUUUAAUUAAAGGAGACGGGGCUCAGGCACCAGUGCUUCUUGUUUUUAACUCAGGUGAUUCUGCUAAGGAGGCAGCUCUGAGAACCAUGGCUCUGGAGAGUUCUCAAACUUGUGUAUUCAUCAAAAAUACCUGGAGGGCUUUUUCCCACCCCAAACUUUCUUAUUCAGUAGGCUUGGGUGUGGGGCAUUUCUG
This 736-nucleotide long non-coding RNA is filed under the name Equus caballus (horse). RNAcentral describes it as "lncRNA (ENSECAG00000054607.1)". The record is from RNAcentral. Lineage: Eukaryota; Metazoa; Chordata; Mammalia; Perissodactyla; Equidae.